CUGGAGGUAUCAGAAGUGCGAAUGCUGACAUAAGUAACGAUAAAGCGGGUGAAAAGCCCGCUCGCCGGAAGACCAAGGGUUCCUGUCCAACGUUAAUCGGGGCAGGGUGAGUCGACCCCUAAGGCGAGGCCGAAAGGCGUAGUCGAUGGGAAACAGGUUAAUAUUCCUGUACUUGGUGUUACUGCGAAGGGGGGACGGAGAAGGCUAUGUUGGCCGGGCGACGGUUGUCCCGGUUUAAGCGUGUAGGCUGGUUUUCCAGGCAAAUCCGGAAAAUCAAGGCUGAGGCGUGAUGACGAGGCACUACGGUGCUGAAGCAACAAAUGCCCUGCUUCCAGGAAAAGCCUCUAAGCAUCAGGUAACAUCAAAUCGUACCCCAAACCGACACAGGUGGUCAGGUAGAGAAUACCAAGGCGCUUGAGAGAACUCGGGUGAAGGAACUAGGCAAAAUGGUGCCGUAACUUCGGGAGAAGGCACGCUGAUAUGUAGGUGAAGCGACUUGCUCGUGGAGCUGAAAUCAGUCGAAGAUACCAGCUGGCUGCAACUGUUUAUUAAAAACACAGCACUGUGCAAACACGAAAGUGGACGUAUACGGUGUGACGCCUGCCCGGUGCCGGAAGGUUAAUUGAUGG
This 629-nucleotide ribosomal RNA is filed under the name Escherichia coli. RNAcentral describes it as "partial 23S ribosomal RNA". It matches the Rfam family "Bacterial large subunit ribosomal RNA", at positions 1273 to 1887 of the family's 2925-position model. The record is from RNAcentral. Lineage: Bacteria; Pseudomonadati; Pseudomonadota; Gammaproteobacteria; Enterobacterales; Enterobacteriaceae.